UGCAAGUCGAACGAGAGGACAAGAGAAGCUUGCUUCUUUUGGAAUCGAGUGGCAAACAGGUGAGUAACACGUAAACAACCUGCCUUCAGGAUGGGGACAACAGACGGAAACGACUGCUAAUACCGAAUACGCUUGGGAGACCGCAUGAUCUUCCAAGGAAAGGGUGGCCUCUACCUGUAAGCUAUCGCCUGAAGAGGGGUUUGCGUCUGAUUAGGCAGUUGGCGAGGUAACGGCCCACCAAACCUACGAUCAGUAGCCGGUCUGAGAGGAUGAACGGCCACACUGGAACUGAGACACGGUCCAGACUCCUACGGGAGGCAGCAGUGGGGAAUCUUCCGCAAUGGGCGAAAGCCUGACGGAGCAACGCCGCGUGAGUGAUGACGGCCUUCGGGUUGUAAAGCUCUGUGAUCGGGGACGAACGGUCCGUAAGUCAAUACCUUAUGGAAGUGACGGUACCCGAAUAGCAAGCCACGGCUAACUACGUGCCAGCAGCCGCGGUAAUACGUAGGUGGCAAGCGUUGUCCGGAAUUAUUGGGCGUAAAGCGCGCGCAGGCGGCUUUCUAAGUCCAUCUUAAAAGUGCGGGGCUUAACCCCGUGAUGGGAUGGAAACUGGAAAGCUGGAGUAUCGGAGAGGAAAGUGG
RNAcentral lists this ribosomal RNA (641 nucleotides) under uncultured bacterium. Its description in RNAcentral is "bacterial SSU rRNA". It matches the Rfam family "Bacterial small subunit ribosomal RNA", at positions 56 to 664 of the family's 1533-position model. The record is from RNAcentral.